CCCUUAGAUGUCCUGGGCCGCACGCGCGCUACACUGACAUGUUCAACAAGCCUCCUAGUUCGACAGGAUUUGGGAAAUCUUUGAACGCAUGUCGUGAUAGGGAUAGAUCAUUGCAAUUAUUGAUCUUGAACGAGGAAUUCCUAGUAAACGCGAGUAAUCAGCUCGCAUUGAUUACGUCCCUGCCCUUUGUACACACCGCCCGUCGCACCUACCGAUUGAAUGUUUCGGUGAAGAUUCCGGAUAGGACUUUUUUGAUUUAUUUCAAUUUUGUCUUAAAAGCUAUCUAAACCUCAACAUUUAGAGGAAGGUGAAGUCGUAACA
This 321-nucleotide ribosomal RNA is filed under the name uncultured eukaryote. RNAcentral describes it as "partial 18S ribosomal RNA". It matches the Rfam family "Eukaryotic small subunit ribosomal RNA", at positions 1470 to 1796 of the family's 1831-position model. The record is from RNAcentral.